RNAcentral lists this ribosomal RNA (512 nucleotides) under uncultured bacterium. RNAcentral's name for it is "partial 16S ribosomal RNA". It matches the Rfam family "Bacterial small subunit ribosomal RNA", at positions 28 to 507 of the family's 1533-position model. The record is from RNAcentral.
GAUGAACGCUGGCGGCGUGCCUAAUACAUGCAAGUCGAACGAAACUUCUUUAUCACCGAGUGCUUGCACUCACCGAUAAAGAGUUGAGUGGCGAACGGGUGAGUAACACGUGGGCAACCUGCCCAAAAGAGGGGGAUAACACUUGGAAACAGGUGCUAAUACCGCAUAACCAUAGUUACCGCAUGGUAACUAUGUAAAAGGUGGCUAUACUACCGCUUUUGGAUGGGCCCGCGGCGCAUUAGCUAGUUGGUAGGGUAAAGGCUUACCAAGGCAAUGAUGCGUAGCCGAAUUGAGAGGUUGAUCGGCCACAUUGGGACUGAGACACGGCCCAAACUCCUAUGGGAGGCAGCAGUAAGGAAUCUUCCACAAUGGGAGAAAGCCUGAUGGAGCAACGCCGCGUGGGUGAAGAAGGUCUUCGGAUCGUAAAACCCUGUUGUUAGAGAAGAAAGUGCGUGAGAGUAACUGUUCACGUUUCGACGGUAUCUAACCAGAAAGCCACGGCUAACUACGUG